CAGUCGCCGCGGGAAUACAGAGGGUGCGAGCGUUAAUCGGAUUUACUGGGCGUAAAGCGUGCGUAGGCGGCUUCUUAAGUCGGAUGUGAAAUCCCUGAGCUUAACUUAGGAAUUGCAUUCGAUACUGGGAAGCUAGAGUAUGGGAGAGGAUGGUAGAAUUCCAGGUGUAGCGGUGAAAUGCGUAGAGAUCUGGAGGAUACCGAUGGCGAAGGCAGCCAUCUGGCCUAAUACUGACGCUGAGGUACGAAAGCAUGGGGAGCAAACAGGAUUAGAGACCCGCGUAGUCCCUGUCUCUUAUCAC
This 301-nucleotide ribosomal RNA is filed under the name uncultured bacterium. RNAcentral's name for it is "partial 16S ribosomal RNA". It matches the Rfam family "Bacterial small subunit ribosomal RNA", at positions 509 to 810 of the family's 1533-position model. The record is from RNAcentral.